This 62-nucleotide transfer RNA is filed under the name Curculionoidea sp. 14 KM-2017. Its description in RNAcentral is "tRNA-Cys". It matches the Rfam family "tRNA". Rfam says of the family: Transfer RNA (tRNA) molecules are approximately 80 nucleotides in length. Their secondary structure includes four short double-helical elements and three loops (D, anti-codon, and T loops). Further hydrogen bonds mediate the characteristic L-shaped molecular structure. tRNAs have two regions of fundamental functional importance: the anti-codon, which is responsible for specific mRNA codon recognition, and the 3' end, to which the tRNAs corresponding amino acid is attached (by aminoacyl-tRNA synthetases). tRNAs cope with the degeneracy of the genetic code in two manners: having more than one tRNA (with a specific anti-codon) for a particular amino acid; and 'wobble' base-pairing, i.e. permitting non-standard base-pairing at the 3rd anti-codon position. The record is from RNAcentral. Lineage: Eukaryota; Metazoa; Arthropoda; Insecta; Coleoptera.
GGUUUUGUAGUCAAAUAUGAUAUUAAAUUGCAAAUUUAAUGGUGAAGAUUAUUCCAAGGCUU